Long non-coding RNA from Oncorhynchus keta (chum salmon), 1441 nucleotides. RefSeq lists it as uncharacterized. The transcript is spliced from 4 exons. Lineage: Eukaryota; Metazoa; Chordata; Actinopteri; Salmoniformes; Salmonidae. The record is from RefSeq and is a predicted model, not a curated record.
UCCAUAUGUGUUAUUUCAUAGUUUUGAUGUCUUCACUAUUAUUCUACAAUGUAGAAAAUUGUUAAAAUAAAGAAAAACCAUGAAAAAAAAAAAACAUGAGUAGGUGUGUCCAAACUUUUGACUGGUACUGUAUAUUUUGGUACAGCUGAUGAAUAGACAAAAUAUAACUGAAUUGUAUUUGUUUGGAGAAGUACAUUUUUCCUGUUUUGCUUAAAUACACAGGGUUCAGUAUGAUAUGGUCUGUUUGCUGAAAUAUACAGGGCUGUCAUUGAAAAUAGGAAUUUGUGCUUAACUGACUUGCUUAGUUAAAUAAAGGUCAAAUAAAAUAGAGAGAGAACGCUAUAGCCAAUAUAGUUUCAGCGCUCACUCUGCCAGUAUGGUGUCAGCUCUCACUCAGCCAGUAUGGUGUCAGCUCACACUCAGCCAGUAUGGUGUCAGCUCUCAUUCAGCCAGUAUGGUGUCUGCUCACGUAAGGAUAUUGAAAUAUUAAGACGGGUACUGGAUUUUUCUAGUAAGCACUCCUGAAUUAUUGAGGAUUAUUUUUCCAAUUCCCUUAACAGACCUUUAUUAAAGACAGAGAAAGAGGUAGAAACAUUUUUUUUAUAUAUUUUAGCUGUGGUGCUAAAUUAUGAAUGAAUUUCUAUGUGUGUGCGCCUGGCAUGCUGAGCGUGUGUGCAUUGGGUUCUGGGGCUUUAAGGUGUAGGAUGAUGAUCCACGGGGAGAGAAAGAGAGUCCAGUACACACCUGAUCCAGUACACUAGUGUUAGGGCAGCGGUUGUAGAGGGAGGCAGCAGGAGGACAGAGAGUGGCUUUGUAGGUCAGUAGGGGGGAAGAUGUUGAGGUAUUAUAGUCCGUUAAACGGGGGACAGAGAAGGUGAGGACUUACACGUUAAACGGGAGACAGAGAAGGUGAGGACUUACACAUUAAACGGGAGACAGAGAAGGUGAGGACUUACACAUUAAACGGGGGACAGAGAAGGUGAGGACUUACACGUUAAACGGGGGACAGAGAAGGUGAGGACUUACACAUUAAACGGGGGACAGAGAAGGUGAGGACUUACACAUUAAACGGGAGACAGAGAAGGUGAGGACUUACACAUUAAACGGGAGACAGAGAAGGUGAGGACUUACACAUUAAACGGGGGACAGAGAAGGUGAGGACUUACACAUUAAACGGGAGACAGAGAAGGUGAGGACUUACACAUUAAACGGGAGACAGAGAAGGUGAGGACUUACACGUUAAACGGGGGACAGAGAAGGUGAGGACUUACACAUUAAACGGGGGACAGAGAAGGUGAGGACUUACACGUUAAACGGGGGACAGAGAAGGUGAGGACUUACACAUUAAACGGGGGACAGAGAAGGUGAGGACUUACACGUUAAACGGGGGACAGAGAAGGUGAGGACUUACACAUUAAACGGGGGACAGAGAAGGUGAGGA